This 74-nucleotide transfer RNA is filed under the name Spirodela intermedia. RNAcentral describes it as "tRNA-His". It matches the Rfam family "tRNA". From Rfam's summary of the family: Transfer RNA (tRNA) molecules are approximately 80 nucleotides in length. Their secondary structure includes four short double-helical elements and three loops (D, anti-codon, and T loops). Further hydrogen bonds mediate the characteristic L-shaped molecular structure. tRNAs have two regions of fundamental functional importance: the anti-codon, which is responsible for specific mRNA codon recognition, and the 3' end, to which the tRNAs corresponding amino acid is attached (by aminoacyl-tRNA synthetases). tRNAs cope with the degeneracy of the genetic code in two manners: having more than one tRNA (with a specific anti-codon) for a particular amino acid; and 'wobble' base-pairing, i.e. permitting non-standard base-pairing at the 3rd anti-codon position. The record is from RNAcentral. Lineage: Eukaryota; Viridiplantae; Streptophyta; Magnoliopsida; Alismatales; Araceae.
GCAGAUGUAGCCAAGUGGAUCAAGGUAGUGGAUUGUGAAUCCACCACGCAGGGGUUCAAUUCACGUCAUUCGCC